This 497-nucleotide ribosomal RNA is filed under the name uncultured bacterium. RNAcentral describes it as "partial 16S ribosomal RNA". It matches the Rfam family "Bacterial small subunit ribosomal RNA", at positions 28 to 507 of the family's 1533-position model. The record is from RNAcentral.
GAUGAACGCUGGCGGCGUGCCUAAUACAUGCAAGUCGAGCGAACGGACGCGAACCUUGCUACUCUGAUGUUAGAGGCGGACGGAACACUAAAACAUGGUGAACCUACCUAUAAGACAGGGAUAACUUCGGGAAGCCAGAGCUAAAACUGACUACUAUUUUCAACCGCAUGGUUCAAAAGCGAAAGAGGGUCUUGCUGUCACCUAUCGAUCGAUCCGCUCUGCAUUAGCUAGUUGGUAGGGUAACGGCUUACCAAGUCAACGAUGCGUAGCCGACCCGAGAGGGUGGUCGGCCACCUGGGAACUGGGACACGGUCCAGAGUCCUACGACAGGCAGCAGAAGGGUAUCUGCCGCAAUGGGCGAAAGCCUGACGGAGCAACGCAGCGUGAGUGAUGGAAGCCUUCGGAUCGUAAAACUCUGUUAUUAGGGAAGAACAUAUGUGUAAGGAACUGUGCACGGCUUGACGGUAGCUAGUCAGAAAGCCACGGCUAACUACGUG